CUUAGCUUGUGACCUCUACGGAAAUACUGAAGACGUCCUCUGUGUCCUUUUAGACUUUCUGGGGGAGGGGACAGCUGCUGCCCAGAAGCAAGCAGCUUCCUUUUGGCCAGGUCAGUGCAGGGAACCAACAAAGACAGGGACCUGUGGCCAGAAGAAGCACAGCCACAGCAGGUAUCUGAUUGGACUGAGCCAGGAAAGGCCUUCUUGCCCUUAGGGACCCCUCAAAGCUUCUUUCCCACAAGCUGGAAACUGCUUGGCUCACUGCUGUCCUAAAUGCAGGUGCCAGCCGAGGGGGUUACCCUAGGACCGUGAGCCAUUAACAGCUUGUCUCAAAUACGCUUCUCCAAGGCAGUCAGCGACUCCCCACUGAACACCUGUGGGUUCCUGCUGGUGCUAACUUAGGCACAGGGCUAGCAGGUCCCUCCCCUGUAGCAGAUGAUGAGAGCAAGUGUGGUGCAGGAGGAACUGGAAAGAGAGCAUCGUCAGAGGCGACACUUGCGUGGAUUAAAACCAUAUAUUCUUGUGCAAUGUAAAAUUGCCAACUUGCAUCAGCAUAACGAAGGACACACUUAGAAUAGAAAAGCUGAGGAGGACAGAAGAAUAGGAAGAACAACAAAAUCAUGCCUGGUCCUUUUGCCCAGAAAUGACCCAUGUGAAUCUUGGCUGAACUUUUAGACUUUUUCGCGGUGCACAUUUCUGAACAUAAUUUGACAACGUGGGACCUCUAGAAUUGUACAUUCUAAUUUUUCAGUCCAUUUAUUUCUUAUUCCAGAAAGAAUCCAUAUAUAAGGAUGGCUCAUCACAGUGUUGUUUUUAAUUGUGAAAAGCUGAAAAAUGGAUGCUCGCCACUAGUGUUUAUAAAUAAAUUCAAUAAAGUUAUGCUCUCACAAUAAAAUAUUAUGUAAUCAUUUAAAAGAAUAAUCUCAUGCUCUGCGUAUUAUCAUGGAAGGAUGUCCACAAGGUCUUGCUGAAAUUUUUUUAAAAGUCCCAAAACAGUGUAUAUAUAAUUUGAGACUAUUGAUAUAAAAAUAUGGGUGUAUAUGUGUGUAAAAAAAGAUGUUUGGGCCGGGCACGGUGGCUCACGCCUGUAAUCCCAACCUUUUUGGGGCUGAGGUGGGCGGAUCACUUGAGGUCAGGAGUUUGAGACCAGCCUGGCCAACAUGGUGAAACUCCGUCUCUACUAAAAUAAAAAUAAAAAAAAUUAGCUGGAUGUGGUGGUGCAUGCCUGUAAUCCCAGCUACUCCAGAGGCUGAGGCAGGAAAAUCGCUUGAGCCAGGGAGGCGGAGGUUGCAGUGAG
RNAcentral lists this long non-coding RNA (1297 nucleotides) under Homo sapiens (human). RNAcentral describes it as "HSALNT0391134". Lineage: Eukaryota; Metazoa; Chordata; Mammalia; Primates; Hominidae. The record is from RNAcentral.